CGGUCCAGACUCCUACGGGAGGCAGCAGUGGGGAAUAUUGCACAAUGGGCGCAAGCCUGAUGCAGCCAUGCCGCGUGUGUGAAGAAGGCCUUCGGGUUGUAAAGCACUUUCAGCGGGGAGGAAGGCGCCAAGGUUAAUAACCUUGUCGAUUGACGUUACCCGCAGAAGAAGCACCGGCUAACUCCGUGCCAGCAGCCGCGGUAAUACGGAGGGUGCAAGCGUUAAUCGGAAUUACUGGGCGUAAAGCGCACGCAGGCGGUCUGUCAAGUCGGA
Molecule: ribosomal RNA, 273 nt
Filed under: Klebsiella pneumoniae
Lineage: Bacteria; Pseudomonadati; Pseudomonadota; Gammaproteobacteria; Enterobacterales; Enterobacteriaceae
Description: partial 16S ribosomal RNA
Rfam family: Bacterial small subunit ribosomal RNA
Source: RNAcentral